AUGACGGUCGCCGAGCUGCUCCGCGCCCAGCUCGAGGAGCACAACAUCGAGGAUGAUGAUGACGACGAUGAAUACAAUGAUGAGGAUGAGGAUGAAAAAGAUGACGAUGAUGUUGAGGGAGGUGAUGCUAGUGGAAGAUCUAGGCAGACAAGGAGUGAGAAGAAGAGCAGGAAAGCCAUGGAGAAGCUUGGCAUGAAGGUCAUUACUGGUGUGAACCGUGUAACUAUCAAAAAGAGCAAGACCGUUACGUUUGUCCUCUCCAAGCCAGAUGUCUUCAAGAGCUCACACUCAGAAACCUAUGUCAUUAUCGGGGAGAUCAAGUUCGAGGACCUGAACACUGAGCUGCAGACACAAGCGGCAGAGCAGUUCAAGGCGCCGGGCCCGAGCAGGGUCAAUUCGAUGGGUGAGCCGUCCGUGGCAGCAGUCCAAGAUGACGAGGAGGUUGACGAGACCGGCGUUGACAAGAAGGACGUCGAGCUCAUGAUGAUGCAGGCCUCCGUGUCGAGAUCCAGGGCCGUGGAGGCACUCAAGGCUGCGGAUGGCGACAUCGUCAGCGCCAUCAUGGAGUUGACUAACUAG
This 579-nucleotide ribosomal RNA is filed under the name Triticum aestivum (bread wheat). RNAcentral describes it as "partial small subunit ribosomal RNA". Lineage: Eukaryota; Viridiplantae; Streptophyta; Magnoliopsida; Poales; Poaceae. The record is from RNAcentral.